Molecule: RNA transcript, 8465 nt
Organism: Scophthalmus maximus (turbot)
Lineage: Eukaryota; Metazoa; Chordata; Actinopteri; Pleuronectiformes; Scophthalmidae
Gene: rgs17
Gene name: regulator of G protein signaling 17
Exons: 6
Source: RefSeq, a predicted model, not a curated record
ACAGGGUCACUAUAUAAAAGAAAUACCAUAUAGUUAAAGUAUUUGUGGUGUGGCACUCCUUUGAUCCUAUGUCUUCAAAUGGAUAUUGCUUGUUCUAAGGACACAGAAAGGGGGAAUGUGGAAAGAACUGACUGGGUUAACCCCCGGAGUGUGAGUGGAGUGGAGAUGAGAAAAAGGCAGGCGGCACACAUCGAGGCCCAACCCCAGGCCCCUGGACAGCCCCGACCCAACACCUGCUGCCUCUGCUGGUGUGGCUGCUGCAAGUGUCUCUGGAAUGACGACAGGAUGGAGAGGAGUGAACGACAGACCUGCACCAAGAUGGAUAGUAUUGAAGCUGCAGAAGAACAACACCCCAGUCUAGACGAGGUGCUGUCAUGGGCACGGAGCUUUGAGAUGAUGCUGCGCUCGUUGGAGGGCCGGGAGAUCUUCCGGGAGUUCCUGCGCUCGGAGUACAGUGAGGACAACCUGCUCUUCUGGUUGGCCUGUGAUGAGCUGAAGAAGGAGACAAAUCCCUCCAUGGUGGAUGAGAAGGCCAGGAUCAUAUAUGAAGACUACGUGUCCAUAUUAUCACCUAAAGAGGUGAGUCUGGACUCACGGGUCAGAGAAGGAAUAAACCUGACCCUGGCCGAGCCCAGCAACCUGAUGUAUGAGGAGGCCCAACUCCAGAUCUACACCCUGAUGCACCGGGACUCCUAUCCCCGUUUCCUCAACUCCUCCGUUUACAGAGACCUCCUGGCCAGCAGGAGGCGCACCUGCCUCGACACCUAGACUCCGCCACCGUCCCUCAUUGCCAUCGUACACCAACGAGACUACUACUUAAACUUCAAAUACUACUAUGGUGCCAGAAGUCGGGGUUGGAAAAUCUCUCCCUCUUUUUUGAAUGAAAAGACUGAAUGACAUCCAAGAUAGCUGGUUGUUUUUUUUUUUUAUUUAUAUUUUUAAGCAAUUUAUAUCCAGUUCUCCACUGGAGCCAGGUCGGCCUUUGCUGGUUGGUUAUUGGUCAAUUCAAGACCUUUAAUGCUGGCCAGUGAUUGUUUUGCUAGCAAUCUGUGCUGUUUGUUUCGGUUGACUGGCCAACCUACAUGUCAGCUGUCGGUUGAAGUGGCCUACGUGUUGGCCAGCUGUUGGUUUCCUGUGGACAAGGACUCUUCAGGCGGCGGGGACAGGAGGAGAGAGAGGAAGAGAGACACGCCAACUGUUCCUAUUUGAUGGCUUCUGCAGACAAGGCAGCAGCAGCAGCACCUACCCGUCCCUCCGUCCGUCCAUCCAUCCAUCCAUCCAUCCAUCCAUCCAUCCAAGCACUUUCCUUCUUUAGGAUUCUUUAACUGGGAGAAGUAAGGGCUAGAAUUGUGGUUGGGCAGCUACAUGUAUUAUUCUUACUCAUGAACUUCAGACAAAAAAUCUCUCCACUGAGAAAAUCACAAUGCCUUUACUCGUAAGAAAAGGCAGCACAAGUGCUGCUGGAGUUUUUGCUGGAAAGCACCCACAGUUUGUCCGACAGUCCCCACCUCCCAUCAUUUUUUUCCUCCCCCGUCCUCCCUCAAACUCAUUCCAUCGCAGCCUGACAAGUACUGGUGCCCAAUGGGGGGGGCAGGGAUGCCACUGGAGAAAAUCAAAAGAAAGAAAAGUUUAACGCUAGUGUUUCACAAUGAAUUGAGCAUUUAGGAAAACUGGUUAUGCUUGGAGAACAUGAGCAGAAGCAGCCCUGACCUUUGUCUGUAAGGCGCUAGCUUUAGAAGCUUUAGGCAAUAUGGCAGUCCUUUAAGUUGGACAUCCAAUAUCGCAUUGCAGAUUCGUGAACCAGGUGCCAAACAUGAUGUCAGAGAUGAUGUAGAUAUCAGGUUUGACUUGUCACCAGGCUGCAGAGUGUCGGUCCUGUCUGAUCGUCCAGCGGAUGAAGUUGUGAAAGUGUAGGGUCCUCCUUCAGGUAGCUGCUGCCUCAACACACUCGACACUUGAUAUAUUUUUUUUUAACCAGAGCUCAUGAGAAGGGUUGGUGUAAUAAUGCUAACAUGCUUGCCUUUUCUAAAAGUUUAACUGGGUUUCAGCAUGCUGUAGGCAAGCAGUUAGCAUGCUUGUGCUAACCAUGCUAAUCCCCCAUGUCACUGCCAGCCCUCACACACGCUGGUUUGUUUUUCUAAUCUGACUUUGACAGCAUGCGAUGAUAAUGUGUGUGUAUGGUUAAUUUACAAAAAAAACUUUGAAAAAAAUGUCGCCAAAUGUUGCCAAAUGUCCCAUUAACAUUUUCAGUAUAUAAAAAGGACAUUUUGUUUUUUGACGAUGUGAACAUUUGAACAUGAACUUUGUUCCUGGCAGGUGGACGUGCAGUAGAAAGUGCAUGAGUGCAGUAUAUGCUUCUUUCUUUUUUUUUAUUAACCGGGCCUCCAGUUACAUUUCUAUGAUAUGAUAUAUAUCAUGUGAUGGACAGCUGAAGUCCUGGUUCAGUGGUUAGUGCAGUCUUUUAGUGUAAAUGAAAACCGUGCCACUCCUCACUGAUACAUGUGGGCGUCCAUGUUGCCACCUCCAUUAACUACCUGAAGUUCACGUGCCAAGUUUGAUCAAAAUUAAAUUCAACAGUAGACGAUGCGGGAAGUCUAGAAGACUAUUGAAGUGCAAUUGGUUGUAAAGUCGUCAGUGGUAAUAGAUCAGGGUUUAUUUGAAGCUUUGCUCCACUAUGUUACAUUGGUUUUGAAUUAUCGUAUAUAAACUACGACACCUUUCAGUAUCCCGAUACUGAAAGAGCUUUAAUUCCCUUAUUCCGUUAAUCAAGAAACUUUCUCCCUUCAGUAAGUUUUACUAAAGUAAGUUUUACUAAUGUAAGUAGUAAGUUUUACUAAAGGAAUUGAAUACAGAAACUGAUAAUUGAAUUUAUCUUUAGAAAAGGAUGUACGUAGGAGUCUCUGGAAUCGUAGGAUUUUGAGUUUCCCUCUGGACUUUUUUCCCCCCACUUGCAGUUGCAUUUGUAGAUGAAGCUUCCAGGUCAAAACCAAGCUAACAAAUGUAUACAGAAGUUUUCUGUCAUGACGUUGUGGUUAUAAAUCAGUAAAACUGACAAUUAACUAAUAAUCAGCCAACAGUUUUGCAAUGUUCCUUAUUUGAAAAUAUACUAUAUUUAUUUUAACAUUUGGCAAUACAGAACUCCCAUUCAGACUACAAUAAUAUCCAUAAGGGCUUCAUUGAUAUUGCUUAGCUGCUUUGACGCAGAGCUGUACACCCAUGCGCCCAGUUGAUCAGAAGCAGAGGAAUACAGUGUAAAUAACCAAUUCUUAUACUAAGGAUCCAAUUUCAUACUGACUCCCUGAGGCAAGUUAUAAGUACCAGGAAGCAUUUAGAUGUUUGCAAUUGAACAACUCUGCCUGACACUCAUGAAGCUAACAGACCGUCACAUCCCUCCGUGGCACAGCUCAGCUAUGUUUCCUCGUCGCCGAGUCUAUACUAGUAAUUAACAUGAGAAUGUUUCACCAGGAACCAGAUAAGCAACUUGUGGUGCAAUGAAACCAAGUUUACAUUUAUAAAUUGUGAAAUGUGUGUACCUUAACUAAAUACUCGUUACAGUGGGGAGCCAAGUGUCCCCAGUGUGAGCAGAGGGGUCAAUAGGUUUUAGGGUGUCACCCCUCCCUGCCCAGUGCUAACGGACAGUCAUGCGUUCUAACCAGGGGGAGGGGCGGUUUACAGGGAGGACAGCCACAGCAGGAAACCAGCUUUUCCGCUCAUGUCCUUUCUUCUUAAUUCAUUGUGACUUUUACACAGUGGGGAAAAGUACACGGUUGUUUAUUUUUAAUAAUUGAAAUUCAAAUGUGGAUUUUUCAAGCAAUGAUGAUGAUGAUGUGAAGUGAUGUAGUGUCGUCACUGAGUUUCGAUUUUUUUCUUUCAAUUUCAAAGGGGUUCCAAGCGAGUGGGUUUUUUGAAACGUGGCUGUUGGUUUUGUGGACUUGAAAAGGAAAAGAGUGAGAGCUGACGUGUGCUGAUGGGACACAGGGGGUUUGCAAAGCUUUGGCCUUACUGACACGUUUUAUUUUUCCUUUGUAUUAAAAAAAACAAAAAAAAAACGACAACAAACGUCUCCGUAGGCUUUUCACUACCUCUCAUGUUGGUUAAUUUAUUUCACAUCUAGUUGUCAAUGUACAAGUUGUUUUUACAUCUACUUGAAGCCUAACACUGUAAACAAAAAUGUGCACAGAAAAAUGACUAUGUAUAUGACCAGAGGGGUUACAGAGAGCGUGGCCUAGUUAACUUUUUUUGAUUUUAUGUAUGUUUGUUUUUAGUUGUGUUGAGCUGAACUAGAUUUUGCAUCUCUAUAAAGAAUUCAGGAAUCCACUGUCUAAGGGCUAAUCCCAUUUUUGCCUAUGCAAAUCUGUUACUGUGGGUGAGUUGGGAAAGGGCGAGCAACCGCACCUUUCACCUGUGUUAGAUGGACCAUGGUUUACAUUGCCCUUUGCUGAUAUUCUUCAAUCUUAUUCAGCAAAAAUGUACACUUAUUUUUGUUUCUAUAUGAAUAUUAUAUAUAUAAAUAUAUAUAAAGUAACAAGUAAUAUACAGAGAAAAUAGUUUAUGCCUUCGUGAUGAUAAAAAAAGAAACCUUGCUGAAAACAAAUAAAUGUAUUGUUGUCUGACAUUAUGUGGCUGUGUGCUGGAGUUUUGGUAAGAUGAUAGACGACUGGAAUUCAGCUGACCGUUAAGCAACAGACUGUCAGGAAAAACUCUCAUUAUUCAUUGUUCAAUGCUAGUAGCUGAUCCUGUGAAGUAUUUCAUAAUUGUGGGGGGGAGCAACCACAUCAUGACUUUCUGUGACAAAUAUUGUUAUCCAGCCCCAGCCUGUGAUCUGAACAAGGUGUUUGGGUCAUCUAGGACUUGUUCUUGUCAUUGUUCAUCGUAAUGUUAGGUCAUUUAUAAAGCAAGACUAUGUAACCUUCGCUAGACAAAGACCAUUGUUGCAACAGAUGACAGUUAAUAGAUAAGAUGUGUAAAAGUAGCACACGUAGAGAACAGUCAAAUCAUAAAGUAACACUGGUGACUUAGACCAGACAGGACCAAGUAAGGCUGCAACACCAAAACAAUUGAGUGCAUUGAAUUGAGAAAAGGUCCGUUGUACUGCUUAUGAAUGCAACUUUACUUUUGCUGGACUGUGUUUUUUCUCCAUGCAAAAGUUACAUAGUCUCACUUUGAAGGGCUGAGUUGGAGCAAACCUGGACGCCAGCUGAGAUAUUAAUGUCUGCCUGUGUGUGCACUGUCCAUACGCAAGUCACGUUUCAUAACCAGUGAUUCGUGAAUGAAAUGUACGAAUUAUUCCACCCGCCAUGAAAUAAUUAACAUUUUUUAAAUUUUUGUCAGGGGACACUGAACAGCGGUUGUGAAUUUGUAAUCAGAUGAGUACAGCAACAUGUCAUCAGCAAACAGCAGCAACUUUGCGAUCUAUUCCCCGACUUCUUGUUCCUUCUGUAGCCACAUCCAGUCAGACUUUCACUGUGUGAAUAGCAGCGUCGAUGCGAAACACUUCAGUAGAAGUGUGCUUUCUUUCCAUUUUUUGUAAUUACUAAAUAUUGCAGAAAUGUCAAAUGUGAAAAAAGUAUAAAUUGCUUUCAAGACCAAGCAUUCAGCUCUUAUGAGCCACUUUUGCUCCAGGUUGAGGUAUGAUUAAAAGCUAAAAAACUUUAUUUGGACAUAAUUUUAGCUCCUGAAGUCUAACGGAUGUGAGAAAACGCAAGUUAAUGUUGUAUAGAGGUUUCCCACAAUUCCUCGUGGCUAAGGGAAGACGGGUUUAUCCACUGAUGUUGGUUUGAAACUGCCCGAGUAUGUGUUCCCUCAGUUGGAUUUGGUGCCUCUUCACACUUCACGUCAGACUUCAAGAUCUCUCUUUGCCUCGCUGUCUGUCACCUCUUCUCUCUCGGGCUCUCUCUUCCUCUGUCUGGAACAUCACAAACAACAAUUAAUUUAAGUCGGAGCAGAGACAGCCCCGCUUUGCAGCAAAAAUCGCACUGAUGUUUGUUCCUCCUACACGUGAACACCGACUCCCUCAUAUCGUCUCUCUUUUACCUCUUCCAGAGGUGUUUGUGAUACUUUGGGAAAAAAGAUUAUAUUUGUGCAGGCACAGGUUGAAGUUGGCUUUCAGCUGAUUUUAGGCAAUCACUCUUCUCUUUAUUGAUUUAGAUGCCUAAGCCUCGUGGUUUCUGUCACGCCUGUGAAGAUAGAUCACUGUUGUUGAGAGAUGAUCUGCAGGUGAAAAUAAAAACAAUUUUACUGUCACUUUGGGCAAGAAAAGUGAUAUUUUUUUCUAUUCAGCAUGCUUUUUGCUAAAUAAAUGAAAUAAUUCAGUUAUUUGCUAUAAACAAUACUGUAUGAGUAUGUAUUCGAGUACUGCAGUAUGCAGACUAUUAAAAAUAUUAGAAACUCUUUUGAGAGGUUCAUAUUUUUUCCCCCCGAGUAUGUUUCACUAAUAUUGAAGGUUAUGGGAACUUAAUUCUUUAUUUGAGUGUCUCGUGAUUUAUCAGAAUGACUAAAGGACCCUCUUUGUAUUAACAAAUAUAGACCUUGGUUGGUUAUUUCCACAUGCAUGAAUUGCAGAGCAAUUUUAUCCGGACGGUGCCAGUGCAGGGGCUUUUCGUUCAAGGAUUUUGGUCAGUCGAGCUAAAUUUUUCACUAUUCUGCUUCAAGAACAUUUGAUGAUGACAGAGAUCCUGACUUUUAUUUACAUCGAGGCAGGCGGUUUAUCAUUGUGACCACCUAUGGUCAAAAGUCAGCGAGUGACGUGUAUUUUUCUCGCAGGGCCUUAUCCUGAAAUUACGAGGCAGAUGUGACACUUUGUUCCGAUUUAAAAUGCUGAGAUGGUCAAAUGAAAGCAGGGCUUCAAAUGGCAGCCAGUAAGAGAGAGCUCUUGUGCAACGUCCUACAAACAUCGCAGAGCACUGUGUACAUUAACCUACAGGGAUAUGAUGGCUUUUUAUCAUGACCUUUGAAUUUUAUCAAAGGGAACUGAUCAUCAGUCCUCGUGUCCAAAGCUCCCCGAGAUGGAGGAAUUCCCUCAGUUGUAGCAUUGAACGGACUUUCUCACUGGUCUGACCUUACUGAUGAAACGCCAUCCUCUGUUGCAGUGUAGCAGUGGGAACUCCUCUCACCGAGCCUCGUCCUACAACUGGACAGACAGAUUCAAGACGGCUAAUGGAAAAAUUAACAGCACUGAGCGUUUAGGAAUUUGUGAGCAACAUGGAAUGAUGUUGGUAUUGGUAAACCUCUGCAUGACAGUACAGUACAGAUGUGUCAUUUAGUUUUCACAGGGGACAGACGGUAGAAUCGAGAUUCAAUAUUUAUUUACAUCGAGUUAAGACAAAUGUGAAGUUGUUCUGGUCAAUACAUUUACACUAGCAGUGUGAUACUGUGGUUAACUGUGAUGGUGUGGAGAAUAUUUAGACAUUUUUUGAAAAUACACAUCUUUACUUUUGCUCAAUGCCACUCUCAUAUGUGAACUGUAUGGAGCUACAACUUCUCGCAGCUAGGACUGGCUAGAUAAGACUAUCUCGUAUCCUGGCACUGUCCGACUAAAGCCAUUCAUUUUAUCUUGUUUAAUACAUUCAAAAGUGUAAAAAUAACAAUUCAUGGUUAGUUUUUGGGGUACGAUUAUUCCAUGGCAAGAUAACCCCUAAUGGCUCCAGUUUCAUGUGAAUCGUAUAGGUUGAGAUGGUAUAGAUUUUCAAAUAUAACUCUUGACAAGCAAAGCAAAUGAAUGUAUUUGCAAAAUAAUCACCCCCAAAAUUUAAAAAUGUAAAUCAUUGAGCGACAUAAAAUUUCAAAACACAGGGAAAAGGAAAAAGCACAGUUGAAUUUGCCUGACACGGCGAUCAAUGCAACUCUCCCAGCAAGUUCAACAAUGAAUCUUUGGUGGAUACAAUAUGCCAAAGUUAUAAUCAAACUUUUGUUUCAAAUGUAAAGGCGUCAAAGGAAUUGUCGGAAUAUGAAAUCAUGUUUCUUAGACAUUUUGUCACUUGUCUUUUCACUUUGCUGUCAUAGGUUUGUGUCAUGUCUCUGAAUCGUGCACAUACAGUAUGAUCUACUUCACAGACAACCAACAGACCCGAAGGCUUUGUAAACAUGUUUGACGUGUGACCGAUGUGGAAUAGCAACGAUAUCAGAUCCAACUGAAUUUGUACCUGUGUGACAAAAGAAGUUAUUCACUGUUUUUUAAUUUGUUUUGAACUGUUUUAAUUCAUUUUAACAAGAGGUGCAUUUCAGUCGUAGUUUUUUUUUUACUUUUAUUUUAUCUCAAAAGACAGAAAAAAAUGUGUUGUCCAUCGGCCUUUGACUUCACGUUAACAAUGUGUUCAAGUGUGGUACAUUUUGAUCGACGGUUCAGUCUUGCAUUAAGAGAAAAAAACUCCAAUCUACAGUUACUGCCCUUGAAUAUCUGUAAUUUAAAUAGUGCUGCUAGAGAAAUCUAAAUGUUACAACUUAAAAUAAACAAUUAAUAGAUUUUU